GACGAAGGAUGCAAGCGUUAUCCGGAUUCAUUGGGUUUAAAGGGAGCGUAGGCGGCCUGGUAAGUCAGUGGUGAAAUCUCGCAGCUUAACUGCGAAACUGCCAUUGAUACUGCUAGGCUAGAGUACAGAUGCUGUGGGCGGAAUAUGACAUGUAGUGGUGAAAUACAUAGAGAUGUCAUAGAACACCGAUUGCGAAGGCAGCUCACAAAACUGUAACUGACGCUGAGGCUCGAAAGUGUGGGGAUCAAACAGG
Molecule: ribosomal RNA, 253 nt
Filed under: uncultured bacterium
Lineage: Bacteria
Description: partial 16S ribosomal RNA
Rfam family: Bacterial small subunit ribosomal RNA
Source: RNAcentral